UUUAAUGUGGUGUGAUAGUGCAUUUUACAUUUUGGUUGUGAAGGUGAUUAGUAAUCCGUUAAAU
RNAcentral lists this transfer RNA (64 nucleotides) under Taenia ovis (sheep tapeworm). Its description in RNAcentral is "tRNA-Gln". The record is from RNAcentral. Lineage: Eukaryota; Metazoa; Platyhelminthes; Cestoda; Cyclophyllidea; Taeniidae.